AUGAUUACAAGGGGAGAGUUUACUAGGAAGAAAAGCCAUAUGCUUCUAAGUAACGCCGAAGGAGCAAGCUACAGCGAAUCUCUCAGGCAAAAAAGACUCUUGUAGGACG
This 109-nucleotide non-coding RNA is filed under the name Virgibacillus salexigens. Its description in RNAcentral is "Glycine". It matches the Rfam family "Glycine riboswitch aptamer". From Rfam's summary of the family: This family represents the bacterial glycine riboswitch. Glycine riboswitches usually consist of two metabolite-binding aptamers domains with similar structures in tandem. The record is from RNAcentral. Lineage: Bacteria; Bacillati; Bacillota; Bacilli; Caryophanales; Bacillaceae.